AUCUGCUUGUUUAGAGCUUUUUGAAAGCGUAUUGCGCAACAUUAGUUUUUUAUUAGAUUGUACCGGGGAAGGUUUUCCGGUUUAUCCCGGAGGGCUUGUAGCUCAGUUGGUUAGAGCGCGCGCUUGAUAAGCGUGAGGUCGGAGGUUCAAGUCCUCCCAGGCCCACCAUUUAUAGUCGCUUAUGAGAGUGUUUUAAGGCUUUUAGACUGUUUGUUUAGGUUUAUACAGUUUUUUGAGAGUUGUUUAAGCUCUUUAUUCUGUUGGGGGCCGUAGCUCAGCUGGGAGAGCACCUGCUUUGCAAGCAGGGGGUCGUCGG
Molecule: unclassified non-coding RNA, 316 nt
Filed under: Bartonella sp.
Lineage: Bacteria; Pseudomonadati; Pseudomonadota; Alphaproteobacteria; Hyphomicrobiales; Bartonellaceae
Description: partial 16S-23S ribosomal RNA intergenic spacer
Rfam family: tRNA (bases 92-165)
Source: RNAcentral